RNAcentral lists this ribosomal RNA (734 nucleotides) under Epigloea soleiformis. RNAcentral describes it as "mitochondrial SSU rRNA". It matches the Rfam family "Bacterial small subunit ribosomal RNA", at positions 397 to 1205 of the family's 1533-position model. Lineage: Eukaryota; Fungi; Ascomycota; Lecanoromycetes. The record is from RNAcentral.
GCACUUGGAGGAUGUAAGUAACAACUGAUAACAUAUCAGGUUAUUUCGACUUUGUCAUGUAAAAUUCUAAGUAUGAUACUGAUGAUGACAUGUCAUACUUACAAGUCUUGACCAAAUCACGUGCCAGCAGUCGCGGUAAUACGUGGAAGACUAGUGUUACUCGUCUUUAUCAGGUUUAAAGGGUACCUAUACGGUAUAUUUGGCCGAAAGGUACUAAUAUUCUAGAGUUUUAUGCGAGAGGGGGGGAGUACUGAAAGAGUGUAAAGAUGAAAUUCUGUGAUACCUUCGGAAACUGGUAAAGGCGAAGGCAACCCUUUAUUUAAAAACUGACGUUGACGGACGAAGGCUUGGGACACCAACAGGAUUAGAUACCCUAGCAGUCUAAGCAGAAAAUGAUGAAUGUCAUAUGUAAGGAUGUAUCUUUAUGUAAAAUGAAAGUGUAAGCAUUUCACCUCAAGAGUAAAGUGGCACGCAGGAACUGAAAUCAUUAGACCGUUUCUGAACCAGUAGUGAAUAUGUUGUUUAAUAGAUGUUCCACUAAGGACCUUACCUCAUUGUGAAUACUAACGUAAUUGUUAGUACAGGAGUUGCACGGCUGUCUACAGUUAAUGUCGUGAGAUUUUGGUUAGAUCCAUAAAAUUAAGUGAACCCUUGCUUUAUUUAAUUAUAUAAAGCAGUUAACCAUUACACUGGGCAAUUGUAACAGGGACUAAGACAAGUCAUCAUGGCCUCAG